UACGAAGGGGGCUAGCGUUGCUCGGAAUCACUGGGCGUAAAGCGCACGUAGGCGGAUUGCUAAGUCAGGGGUGAAAUCCUGGAGCUCAACUCCAGAACUGCCUUUGAUACUGGCGAUCUUGAGUCCGGGAGAGGUGAGUGGAACUCCGAGUGGUAGAGGUGAAAUUCGUAGAUAUUCGGAAAGAACACCAGUGGCGAAGGCGGCUCACUGGCCCGGUACUGACGCUGAGGUGCGAAAGCGUGG
RNAcentral lists this ribosomal RNA (243 nucleotides) under uncultured bacterium. RNAcentral's name for it is "partial 16S ribosomal RNA". It matches the Rfam family "Bacterial small subunit ribosomal RNA", at positions 524 to 764 of the family's 1533-position model. The record is from RNAcentral.